GAAGGAGUACAGGUAAUCGCUGGCGCCUAGAGCGGCGCGAGAGGAAAGUCCGGGCUCCGCAGGGCAAGGGUGGUCGCUAACGGCGACCGGGGGUGACCCCAGGGAAAGUGCCACAGAAAACAAACCGCUGCCCGGCUGCGGCAGUAAGGGUGAAACGGCGAGGUAAGAGCUCACCAGUUCCCCGGGUGACCGGGGAAGCUCGGUAAACCCCACCCGGAGCAAGACCAAUAGAGGGGCUUCAAGGGCUGCCCGUCCCGCCCCCGGGUAGGUCGCUGGAGGCCGCGGGCAACCGUGGCCCUAGAUGAAUGAUUACCACCCCGACCGGGAACGAUCCGGGAGGGGGCACAGAACCCGGCUUACGUGCUGCUUCAGCC
This 374-nucleotide RNase P RNA is filed under the name Deltaproteobacteria bacterium. Its description in RNAcentral is "RNase P RNA component class A". It matches the Rfam family "Bacterial RNase P class A". From Rfam's summary of the family: Ribonuclease P (RNase P) is a ubiquitous endoribonuclease, found in archaea, bacteria and eukarya as well as chloroplasts and mitochondria. Its best characterised activity is the generation of mature 5'-ends of tRNAs by cleaving the 5'-leader elements of precursor-tRNAs. Cellular RNase Ps are ribonucleoproteins. RNAcentral also lists the same sequence under 1 other name. Lineage: Bacteria; Pseudomonadati; Myxococcota; Myxococcia. The record is from RNAcentral.